CCGGCGAUUUCCGAAUGGGGAAACCCAGUGUGAUUCGUCACACUAUCAUUAACUGAAUCCAUAGGUUAAUGAGGCGAACCGGGGGAACUGAAACAUCUAAGUACCCCGAGGAAAAGAAAUCAACCGAGAUUCCCCCAGUAGCGGCGAGCGAACGGGGAGGAGCCCAGAGCCUGAAUCAGCAUGUGUGUUAGUGGAAGCGUCUGGAAAGGCGCGCGAUACAGGGUGACAGCCCCGUACACAAAAGCGCAUGUGCUGUGAGCUCGAUGAGUAGGGCGGGACACGUGGUAUCCUGUCUGAAUAUGGGGGGACCAUCCUCCAAGGCUAAAUACUCCUGACUGACCGAUAGUGAACCAGUACCGUGAGGGAAAGGCGAAAAGAACCCCGGCGAGGGGAGUGAAAAAGAACCUGAAACCGUGUACGUACAAGCAGUGGGAGCACAGGUUUACCUGUGUGACUGCGUACCUUUUGUAUAAUGGGUCAGCGACUUAUAUUCUGUAGCAAGGUUAACCGAAUAGGGGAGCCGGAGGGAAACCGAGUCUUAAUUGGGCGUUAAGUUGCAGGGUAUAGACCCGAAACCCGGUGAUCUAGCCAUGGGCAGGUUGAAGGUUGGGUAACACUAACUGGAGGACCGAACCGACUAAUGUUGAAAAAUUAGCGGAUGACCUGUGGCUGGGGGUGAAAGGCCAAUCAAACCGGGAGAUAGCUGGUUCUCCCCGAAAGCUAUUUAGGUAGCGCCUCGUGAAUUCAUCUCCGGGGGUAGAGCACUGUUUCGGCUAGGGGGCCAUCCCGGCUUACCAACCCGAUGCAAACUGCGAAUACCGGAGAAUGUUAUCACGGGAGACACACGGCGGGUGCUAACGUCCGUCGUGAAGAGGGAAACAACCCAGACCGCCAGCUAAGGUCCCAAAGU
This 910-nucleotide ribosomal RNA is filed under the name Salmonella enterica subsp. enterica serovar Newport. Its description in RNAcentral is "partial 23S ribosomal RNA". It matches the Rfam family "Bacterial large subunit ribosomal RNA", at positions 104 to 1053 of the family's 2925-position model. Lineage: Bacteria; Pseudomonadati; Pseudomonadota; Gammaproteobacteria; Enterobacterales; Enterobacteriaceae. The record is from RNAcentral.